RNAcentral lists this ribosomal RNA (253 nucleotides) under uncultured bacterium. RNAcentral describes it as "partial 16S ribosomal RNA". It matches the Rfam family "Bacterial small subunit ribosomal RNA", at positions 524 to 776 of the family's 1533-position model. The record is from RNAcentral.
UACGAAGGGGGCUAGCGUUGCUCGGAAUCACUGGGCGUAAAGGGCGCGUAGGCGGCGUUUUAAGUCGGGGGUGAAAGCCUGUGGCUCAACCACAGAAUUGCCUUCGAUACUGGGACGCUUGAGUGUGGUAGAGGUUGGUGGAACUGCGAGUGUAGAGGUGAAAUUCGUAGAUAUUCGCAAGAACACCGGUGGCGAAGGCGGCCAACUGGACCAUUACUGACGCUGAGGCGCGAAAGCGUGGGGAGCAAACAGG